RNAcentral lists this ribosomal RNA (444 nucleotides) under uncultured bacterium. RNAcentral describes it as "SSU rRNA". It matches the Rfam family "Bacterial small subunit ribosomal RNA", at positions 26 to 518 of the family's 1533-position model. The record is from RNAcentral.
AGAGCGAACGCUGGCGGCAGGCCUAACACAUGCAAGUCGAGCGCCCCGCAAGGGGGAGCGGCAGACGGGAGAGUAACACGUGGGAACGUACCCUUUGGUUCGGAACAACCCAGGGAAACUUGGGCUAAUACCGAAUAAGCCCUUACGGGGAAAGAUUUAUCGCCAAAGGAUCGGCCCGCGUCUGAUUAGCUAGUUGGUGAGGUAACGGCUCACCAAGGCGACGAUCAGUAGCUGGUCUGAGAGGAUGAUCAGCCUCACUGGGACUGAGACACGGCCCAGACUCCUACGGGAGGCAGCAGUGGGGAAUAUUGGACAAUGGGCGCAAGCCUGAUCCAGCCAUGCCGCGUGGGUGAUGAAGGCCCUAGGGUUGUAAAGCCCUUUCGGCGGGAAGAUAAUGACGGUACCCGCAGAAGAAGCACCGGCUAACUUCGUGCCAGCAGCCGC